AUUGAACGCUGGCGGCAGGCCUAACACAUGCAAGUCGAGCGAGCGGCGGACGGGUGAGUAAUGUCUGGGAAACUGCCUGUUGGAGGGGGAUAACUACUGGAAACGGUAGCUACUCCCGCAUACCAUCAGAUGUGCCCAGAUGGGAUUAGCUAGUAGGUGGGGUAAUGGCUCACCUAUGCGACGAUCCCUAGCUGGUCUGCGAGGAUGACCAGCCACACGGGAAAUGAGACACGGUCCAGACUCCUACGGGAGGCAGCAGUGGGGAGUAUUGCACAAUGGGCGCAAGCCUGAUGCAGCCAUGCCGCGUGUAUGAAGAAGGCCUUCGGGUUGUAAAGUACUUUCAGCGAGGAGGCGUUACUCGCAGAAGAAGCACCGGCUAACUCCGUGCCAGCAGCCGCGGUAAUUC
This 406-nucleotide ribosomal RNA is filed under the name uncultured bacterium. RNAcentral describes it as "partial 16S ribosomal RNA". It matches the Rfam family "Bacterial small subunit ribosomal RNA", at positions 30 to 526 of the family's 1533-position model. The record is from RNAcentral.